RNAcentral lists this ribosomal RNA (1375 nucleotides) under uncultured bacterium. RNAcentral describes it as "bacterial SSU rRNA". It matches the Rfam family "Bacterial small subunit ribosomal RNA", at positions 28 to 1381 of the family's 1533-position model. The record is from RNAcentral.
GAUGAACGCUGGCGGCGUGCCUAAUACAUGCAAGUCGAGCGAACGGACGAGAAGCUUGCUUCUCUGAUGUUAGCGGCGGACGGGUGAGUAACACGUGGAUAACCUACCUAUAAGACUGGGAUAACUUCGGGAAACCGGAGCUAAUACCGGAUAAUAUUUUGAACCGCAUGGUUCAAAAGUGAAAGACGGUCUUGCUGUCACUUAUAGAUGGAUCCGCGCUGCAUUAGCUAGUUGGUAAGGUAACGGCUUACCAAGGCAACGAUGCAUAGCCGACCUGAGAGGGUGAUCGGCCACACUGGAACUGAGACACGGUCCAGACUCCUACGGGAGGCAGCAGUAGGGAAUCUUCCGCAAUGGGCGAAAGCCUGACGGAGCAACGCCGCGUGAGUGAUGAAGGUCUUCGGAUCGUAAAACUCUGUUAUUAGGGAAGAACAUAUGUGUAAGUAACUGUGCACAUCUUGACGGUACCUAAUCAGAAAGCCACGGCUAACUACGUGCCAGCAGCCGCGGUAAUACGUAAGUGGCAAGCGUUAUCCGGAAUUAUUGGGCGUAAAGCGCGCGUAGGCGGUUUUUUAAGUCUGAUGUGAAAGCCCACGGCUCAUCCGUGGAGGGUCAUUGGAAACUGGAAAACUUGAGUGCAGAAGAGGAAAGUGGAAUUCCAUGUGUAGCGGUGAAAUGCGCAGAGAUAUGGAGGAACACCAGUGGCGAAGGCGACUUUCUGGUCUGUAACUGACGCUGAUGUGCGAAAGCGUGGGGAUCAAACAGGAUUAGAUACCCUGGUAGUCCACGCCGUAAACGAUGAGUGCUAAGUGUUAGGGGGUUUCCGCCCCUUAGUGCUGCAGCUAACGCAUUAAGCACUCCGCCUGGGGAGUACGACCGCAAGGUUGAAACUCAAAGGAAUUGACGGGGGACCCGCACAAGCGGUGGAGCAUGUGGUUUAAUUCGAAGCAACGCGAAGAACCUUACCAAAUCUUGACAUCCUUUGACAACUCUAGAGAUAGAGCCUUCCCCUUCGGGGGACAAAGUGACAGGUGGUGCAUGGUUGUCGUCAGCUCGUGUCGUGAGAUGUUGGGUUAAGUCCCGCAACGAGCGCAACCCUUAAGCUUAGUUGCCAUCAUUAAGUUGGGCACGCUAAGUUGACUGCCGGUGACAAACCGGAGGAAGGUGGGGAGGACGUCAAAUCAUCAUGCCCCUUAUGAUUUGGGCUACACACGUGCUACAAUGGACAAUACAAAGGGCAGCGAAACCGCGAGGUCAAGCAAAUCCCAUAAAGUUGUUCUCAGUUCGGAUUGGAGUCUGGCACUCGACUACAUGAAGCUGGAAUCGCUAGUAUUCGUAGAUCAGCAUGCUUCCGGUGAAUACGUUCCCCGGGUCU